GAGUUUGAUCAUGGCUCAGGAUGAACGCUGGCGGCGUGCCUAAUACAUGCAAGUUGAACGGACUUGGAGGGUGCUUGCACCUAACAAGUUAGUAGCGAACGGGUGAGUAAUACAUAAGCAACCUACCUAUUAGACUGGGAUAACUAUGGGAAACGAUAGCUAAUACCGGAUAGGUAACUUGAAGGCAUCUUUAAGUUAUUAAAGGUUAGAGACACUAAUAGAUGGGCUUAUGGCGUAUUAGUUAGUUGGUGAGGUAACGGCUCACCAAGACGAUGAUACGUAGCCGGCCUGAGAGGGUGAACGGCCACAUUGGGACUGAGACACGGCCCAGACUCCUACGGGAGGCAGCAGUAGGGAAUUUUCGGCAAUGGGCGCAAGCCUGACCGAGCAACGCCGCGUGAGUGAAGAAGGCCUUCGGGUUGUAAAGCUCUGUUAUAAAUUAAGAAUGGCUAUAAGGGACUUAUAGAGAUGACUNUUACCNAAGCC
RNAcentral lists this ribosomal RNA (486 nucleotides) under Erysipelotrichaceae bacterium canine oral taxon 311. Its description in RNAcentral is "bacterial SSU rRNA". It matches the Rfam family "Bacterial small subunit ribosomal RNA", at positions 9 to 492 of the family's 1533-position model. The record is from RNAcentral. Lineage: Bacteria; Bacillati; Bacillota; Erysipelotrichia; Erysipelotrichales; Erysipelotrichaceae.